Molecule: long non-coding RNA, 1055 nt
Organism: Numida meleagris (helmeted guineafowl)
Lineage: Eukaryota; Metazoa; Chordata; Aves; Galliformes; Numididae
Exons: 3
Source: RefSeq, a predicted model, not a curated record
GGAUGUCUGGGCUCUGUGUGCUGCUUCUGCUCAUCCCUUGCUCCCCAGGCACAGCCCCUCCUAGGGCUGCCAAUGGGGACAGGGCUGCUGCCACCAUGGAGAGAAAUGCUUUGCCCCACGUCAUGCAACCCUUUGGGGCUUCCAGCAAGGAACCAGCAACACGUUUAUUUCCUUGUUCCCCCAGCCUGGGCUGUUGCUAACAGGAGAAGGCACAACGCACUAGGAAGAGGAGAUAAGAAGGAAACGUGUAGCAGCACAUCAAAACUAUUUCCAGCCUAAGAAGAUUUUCUGAGCGAUAUUUACAGCAUUUGCUGAUGAGACAGCAUCAGCUCUACCACAACACGGUGCUCUGGCUGAGCAAGCCAAUCUUAAACACCUGUUGUUCUUCACCACGAGUGUUUUCAUAGACACGAUUCUGUACAUGGUGCAGGCGAAAAGUUCCACUGGACUUCAGGCUUAGACACUCCCCAAGUCCUCCACAAAUGUCAGGCAGAUAGGGAUACUGAAAUACAGAUUUCUGUGCCGCGAUGAAAGCGACCCUGGAGCCUUAAUGACAAUAAAAUAAAAUUAUGAAAAUACAUCAUUUCAAUUCCACAGGAAUCCAAAUGAUCUGCAAAAACUCCCUACGCAAUUUUCCUGCAGCAGAGCUCCUAAUGAAGCUGAGGGGCCAACCUUCCCCCUACACCACACAGCCUGCCAGUGGUGGAUGGUGCAGGGCUGUGAUGAGCUUAAUGGGUAAACUCAGGCUUCAAGGUGGAGACCAAGCCACUGAGGUCCAGUUGCUGGCCGUAUCUUAGCCCUCAGUCAACUGCUUUUCUUAGUGAUGGACCAUCACUUGAUACAAACUUAAUUGUGAGGCAUUUCUCUGGGGCAUGUUAAGAUAGGUUGCGAUUUCAACACUUGUUAUUUGGACUAGUGUUUUAAGUAGUUAUCUUUAAGCAGUCUCAAAUGGAAUAAGCAGUAAGGAAAACAUCCAAGAUGACCACUUAAUCCAUACAUUUUUUGCAUAAUUGAGAUCCCUAGAUGUUGCAUUAUAUUGUCUUGGACAACCAGGA